GCCUGAUCCAGCAAUGCCGCGUGUGUGAAGAAGGCCUUCGGGUUGUAAAGCACUUUUGUCCGGAAAGAAAUCCUUGGCUCUAAUACAGUCGGGGGAUGACGGUACCGGAAGAAUAAGCACCGGCUAACUACGUGCCAGCAGCCGCGGUAAUACGUAGGGUGCGAGCGUUAAUCGGAAUUACUGGGCGUAAAGCGUGCGCAGGCGGUUUGCUAAGACCGAUGUGAAAUCCCCGGGCUCAACCUGGGAACUGCAUUGGUGACUGGCAGGCUAGAGUAUGGCAGAGGGGGGUAGAAUUCCACGUGUAGCAGUGAAAUGCGUAGAGAUGUGGAGGAAUACCGAUGGCGAAGGCAGCCCCCUGGGCCAAUACUGACGCUCAUGCACGAAAGCGUGGGGAGCAAACAGGAUUAGAUACCCUGGUAGUCCACGCCCUAAACGAUGUCAACUAGUUGUUGGGGAUUCAUUUCCUUAGUAACGUAGCUAACGCGUGAAGUUGACCGCCUGGGGAGUACGGUCGCAAGAUUAAAACUCAAAGGAAUUGACGGGGACCCGCACAAGCGGUGGAUGAUGUGGAUUAAUUCGAUGCAACGCGAAAAACCUUACCUACCCUUGACAUGGUCGGAAUCCUGCUGAGA
This 632-nucleotide ribosomal RNA is filed under the name Burkholderia sp. IBa238. RNAcentral describes it as "bacterial SSU rRNA". It matches the Rfam family "Bacterial small subunit ribosomal RNA", at positions 381 to 1006 of the family's 1533-position model. The record is from RNAcentral. RNAcentral also lists the same sequence under 2 other names. Lineage: Bacteria; Pseudomonadati; Pseudomonadota; Betaproteobacteria; Burkholderiales; Burkholderiaceae.